RNAcentral lists this ribosomal RNA (692 nucleotides) under uncultured Marinobacter sp. RNAcentral describes it as "bacterial SSU rRNA". It matches the Rfam family "Bacterial small subunit ribosomal RNA", at positions 72 to 758 of the family's 1533-position model. Lineage: Bacteria; Pseudomonadati; Pseudomonadota; Gammaproteobacteria; Pseudomonadales; Marinobacteraceae. The record is from RNAcentral.
GGGGGUGCUUGCACCCCGCUGACGAGCGGCGGACGGGUGAGUAAUGCAUAGGAAACUGCCCAGUAGUGGGGGAUAGCCCGGGGAAACCCGGAUUAAUACCGCAUACGUCCUUCGGGAGAAAGUAGGGGAUCUUCGGACCUUGCGCUAUUGGAUGUGCCUAUGUCGGAUUAGCUAGUUGGUGGGGUAAGAGCCUACCAAGGCGACGAUCCGUAGCUGGUCUGAGAGGAUGAUCAGCCACAUCGGGACUGAGACACGGCCCGAACUCCUACGGGAGGCAGCAGUGGGGAAUAUUGGACAAUGGGGGAAACCCUGAUCCAGCCAUGCCGCGUGUGUGAAGAAGGCUUUCGGGUUGUAAAGCACUUUCAGUGAGGAGGAAAACCUUACGACUAAUACUCGUGAGGCUUGACGUUACUCACAGAAGAAGCACCGGCUAACUCCGUGCCAGCAGCCGCGGUAAUACGGAGGGUGCAAGCGUUAAUCGGAAUUACUGGGCGUAAAGCGCGCGUAGGUGGUUUGAUAAGCGAGAUGUGAAAGCCCCGGGCUUAACCUGGGAACGGCAUUUCGAACUGUCAGGCUAGAGUGUGGUAGAGGGUAGUGGAAUUUCCUGUGUAGCGGUGAAAUGCGUAGAUAUAGGAAGGAACACCAGUGGCGAAGGCGGCUACCUGGACCAACACUGACACUGAGGUGCGAAA